CGUUCUCCCAGGCGGCGGCCAGCUGGUCGACCUUCGGCGUCGACCCCGAGAUCCGGCCGAUCUCCUCGGCGAGGAGGGCC
This 80-nucleotide transfer RNA is filed under the name Leucobacter soli. Its description in RNAcentral is "Leucobacter sp. IMT-300 tRNA-Arg". The record is from RNAcentral. Lineage: Bacteria; Bacillati; Actinomycetota; Actinomycetes; Micrococcales; Microbacteriaceae.